UGUCCUACGGGAGGCAGCAGUGGGGAAUAUUGCACAAUGGGGGAAACCCUGAUGCAGCGACGCCGCGUGAGUGAAGAAGUAUCUCGGUAUGUAAAGCUCUAUUAGCAGGAAAGAUAAUGACGGUACCUGACUAAGAAGCCCCGGCUAACUACGUGCCAGCAGCCGCGGUAAUACGUAGGGGGCAAGCGUUAUCCGGAUUUAUUGGGUGUAAAGGGUGCGUAGACGGGAAGGCAAGUUAGUUGUGAAAUCCCUCGGCUUAACUGAGGAACUGCAACUAAAACUAUCUUUCUUGAGUGCUGGAGAGG
Molecule: ribosomal RNA, 305 nt
Filed under: uncultured bacterium
Lineage: Bacteria
Description: bacterial SSU rRNA
Rfam family: Bacterial small subunit ribosomal RNA
Source: RNAcentral